Molecule: long non-coding RNA, 777 nt
Organism: Juglans microcarpa x Juglans regia
Lineage: Eukaryota; Viridiplantae; Streptophyta; Magnoliopsida; Fagales; Juglandaceae
Exons: 3
Source: RefSeq, a predicted model, not a curated record
GUAGGAAAAAACAUAAUAAAAUAGUUAGAUCUCACUGCACAGAAUCACAACAAGCAAGAGGCAAAAAUCGUUGUUCUCCGAGCUCUCUUCCUCUUUUCAUCUUCGUCUCCGAGCUCUCAAGCCCGUCUCUUUGGACCUCCACCAAGAAGGAAAAUCGUCUGUGCUCAAAUUGGAUGAUAAUUACGACGAUGCGAAAGUGACAAAAACGAAUUCAAUGAUCUCUGUGGCUGAGGAUCACAAGGAAGAAAAGUACCAGAUAGAUCUGAUGGCUCCUUCUCUUGCCUCAAGAAUUUCCAUCGGUUUGAAGAAGCCCAGUUCAGGAAACAGAACUCAGAUCAGAGAUCUUAUUUUAUUUUCAAUCUUCUCUGGUGUUGUCCAUUUAAGUAAAUGUUGUUUUGUCGAACUGGGUGGCUAUUGACUUCUUGUUUUUCAAGAAAUAUGGUGUCGAAAACACAACUAACUUCAGGAAUUUCUAUUUUUCUUGAGGAAACACGAUCGCUUUGAUAUUUCCAGAUCAUGAGACAUUGAUUCGUGCACUGCAUUUUUGUUGCUUUCUCAAAGUCUGUAUCAGAAGAAGUGAAUAAUGGUGGAGGACGAGAUUCUCGAAGAAGCCUCUGGUGAUACUGAGAGGGAAAAAGAGUCUUAAAGGGAUUUUUGUGGUUGUUUUUGCAUUCUAAUCCGUUGGUUUAAAAUGCUUGCCUCUGAGAUGCUUGGAGUUUUGUAUUUGGGGUGGUGGUCGUUUAUGGAAUAAGUCAAGGAUUGAGUGGAGCUAUUAAU